CCUACGGGAGGCAGCAGUGGGGGAUAUUGCACAAUGGGGGAAACCCUGAUGCAGCGACGCCGCGUGGGUGAAGAAGUAUUUAGGUAUGUAAAGCCCUAUCAGCAGGGAAGAAAGAAGACGGUACCUGACUAGGAAGCCCCGGCUAACGACGUGCCAGCAGCCGCGGUAAUACGUAGGGGGCGAGCGUUAUCCGGAUGCACUGGGUGUAAAGGGAGCGUAGACGGCUGUGCAAGCCAGGAGUGAAAUCACGGGGCCUAACCCCGGAACUGCCCUUGGAACUGUGCGGCUAGAGUGCGGGAGGGGCAGGCGGAAUGUCUGGUGUAGCGGUGAAAUGCGUAGAGAUCAGGAGGAACACCGGCGGCGAAGGCGGCCUGCUGGACCGUGACUGACGUUGAGGCUCGAAAGCGUGGGGAGCGAACAGGAUUAGAUACCCGAGUAGUC
This 441-nucleotide ribosomal RNA is filed under the name uncultured bacterium. RNAcentral describes it as "partial 16S ribosomal RNA". It matches the Rfam family "Bacterial small subunit ribosomal RNA", at positions 338 to 795 of the family's 1533-position model. The record is from RNAcentral.